RNAcentral lists this ribosomal RNA (430 nucleotides) under uncultured bacterium. RNAcentral describes it as "bacterial SSU rRNA". It matches the Rfam family "Bacterial small subunit ribosomal RNA", at positions 958 to 1392 of the family's 1533-position model. The record is from RNAcentral.
AACGCGAAGAACCUUACCUACCCUUGACUGCCAGGAAGCCCGCUGAGAGGUGGGUGUGCCCGAAAGGGGGCCUGGACACAGGUGCUGCAUGGCUGUCGUCAGCUCGUGUCGUGAGAUGUUGGGUUAAGUCCCGCAACGAGCGCAACCCUUGUCACUAGUUGCUACGCAAGGGCACUCUAGUGAGACUGCCGGUGACAAACCGGAGGAAGGUGGGGAUGACGUCAAGUCCUCAUGGCCCUUAUGGGUAGGGCUUCACACGUCAUACAAUGGCGCAUACAAAGGGCUGCCAACCCGCGAGGGGGAGCCAAUCCCAGAAAGUGCGUCGUAGUCCGGAUUGCAGUCUGCAACUCGACUGCAUGAAGUCGGAAUCGCUAGUAAUCGCGGAUCAGCAAUGUCGCGGUGAAUACGUUCCCGGGUCUUGUACACACCG